RNAcentral lists this ribosomal RNA (673 nucleotides) under Escherichia coli. RNAcentral describes it as "bacterial SSU rRNA". It matches the Rfam family "Bacterial small subunit ribosomal RNA", at positions 93 to 752 of the family's 1533-position model. Lineage: Bacteria; Pseudomonadati; Pseudomonadota; Gammaproteobacteria; Enterobacterales; Enterobacteriaceae. The record is from RNAcentral.
GAGUGGCGGACGGGUGAGUAACACGUGGGUAACCUACCCAUCAGAGGGGGAUAACACUUGGAAACAGGUGCUAAUACCGCAUAACAGUUUAUGCCGCAUGGCAUAAGAGUGAAAGGCGCUUUCGGGUGUCGCUGAUGGAUGGACCCGCGGUGCAUUAGCUAGUUGGUGAGGUAACGGCUCACCAAGGCCACGAUGCAUAGCCGACCUGAGAGGGUGAUCGGCCACACUGGGACUGAGACACGGCCCAGACUCCUACGGGAGGCAGCAGUAGGGAAUCUUCGGCAAUGGACGAAAGUCUGACCGAGCAACGCCGCGUGAGUGAAGAAGGUUUUCGGAUCGUAAAACUCUGUUGUUAGAGAAGAACAAGGACGUUAGUAACUGAACGUCCCCUGACGGUAUCUAACCAGAAAGCCACGGCUAACUACGUGCCAGCAGCCGCGGUAAUACGUAGGUGGCAAGCGUUGUCCGGAUUUAUUGGGCGUAAAGCGAGCGCAGGCGGUUUCUUAAGUCUGAUGUGAAAGCCCCCGGCUCAACCGGGGAGGGUCAUUGGAAACUGGGAGACUUGAGUGCAGAAGAGGAGAGUGGAAUUCCAUGUGUAGCGGUGAAAUGCGUAGAUAUAUGGAGGAACACCAGUGGCGAAGGCGGCUCUCUGGUCUGUAACUGACGCUGAGGC